Molecule: long non-coding RNA, 1963 nt
Organism: Magallana angulata
Lineage: Eukaryota; Metazoa; Mollusca; Bivalvia; Ostreida; Ostreidae
Exons: 3
Source: RefSeq, a predicted model, not a curated record
UAGUAAACAUGGUCAAAUUGAUCUGUAACCCUUUUAGAUGGUGUAGGUUUAUUCAUAGAGAUAUAUAUACUAACACAUGUACAUACAUUGUACAUGCCAGAUUUACGAUGUAAUUUACUACAUCUGGACAUGCCAUACUAAGUUUUACUUUCUUGUUGUUUGACUACAAGUUUACUUUGUAAAUAAAACAAAAUUUAAAACGGAACAAAAAAUUAAAAUAGAUAUACACAUAUACAUUGUACAUGUAUAUAAAUUAUAAACAUCAAAUGCAAUGUUUUGUAACAAUAUUCAAAGUUUUAUCUCAACUUUACUUCUCAACAACACUAAAAUUUCAAAAUAUGAGAACAGAAGCUAUUUGUCCUCCUCUAGUGCUUAAUUUUAUGGAAUAAAUAUCAUAUUCGCUCUGAACAGAGACAUGAAUAACAUAAUAGUAUGCCUCUGUGUACAUGUACAAUUCUUCCAUGCACUCUUAGAAAAGAUUAAAAUGUAAAACAAAAUUCUGAGCGUAUAUGAAUAAAUCACAUCAUGAAACUGAUACCACCGCGAUAAUGUACAAGUAAGUAUACAUCAAAAUAGUUAGGAUAAAAUGACCCGGGGCGAAUCAGCCAUUGGUCAAAACACCGUAAAACCUAUAUUUUCGAAGGAAGUCAUGUGUUCGGAGAUUAUAUAUCAAAUUAAGAGUCUGGGACAGUUGUUUUUUUUAGUGAUUUAUCAGUAUUUGAUACUUGCUCAAAGAUGGAUCUUACCCACAUAUUUGGACAAAGAAUAGAGAUUUUCAUGGGAUUUUUCUCAAGAGGUCUAAUGCAGAAUAAAAAUUAGGAGUCUGAACAGAAGUGAAUAUGUCACUUUGUGUAUCAAUGGACUAAACCUAUCUUGAGCUGGUACCGGUUUUCUGAGCAACAAUGUGGGAAGGCAGCAGUGGUCCACCGUCUCAGUUUUGCCACAGUCCAGGGUCAGCACCAAGCUACAUGUAUAGGACUCCUACCUAAUUACUAAAAGUAUCAUUAUGAAGAAUUUUACAAGACUUCUUGAUGACUGGAAAGACAUAUUAAUUCUGAUUGAAUUUACACGUGGUUGAUAAUAGCUUUGUCAACACAAUAGCCAAAUAUGAACCUAGUAUACCAUUUAAGCAUUAUUUAACAAAUAUAAGUCAGACAGUUUAAAAUUUGAUGAUCCUAUAAGUAAAGGAAAAAUUACAGUCUUUAGAUAUAUUCAAUUCAUUUCAGUUGUUUUUUAUGCAUAUGCAUGAUUGUACAUGUAUAAAUACAUGUAUAUGACUUUUUUAAUCAAGUAUACAUAUAUAGCUGAUGUAGUGACAUGGAUAUAAUCAGAAUUGAUAAUAUGUGUAUAGGUAUUCUGUAUUACUUUAUCUAGGUUGGAUCUUGAAAGCAGGUGUAUGGUACACUGUAUCAUAAAGAUGAUUUUUUUCACUCUUUGUUUACAGUUACUGUCAUGAAGGACAUACGAAGAGAUUUUUUUCUUUGAUUCCUUUUACUUAUAUAUAUAGUAGUCUCCUGGGGCCAUAAUACAAUCACCUAGUAACAGUAUUGUUUGAAUUAUAUACCAUAGAUGGGUUUCUGUGUGCACUGAUUUACUUGUACUCAUCCAUGUUCAUGUACAAAUACAAUUGCAUUUUGUAUAUGUUUGUGCAUUUGCUGAUAAUUUCAAGCACCAUAAAAUCUGUUGUAUUAAUUCAUUUUGUAAACUGCAGCAUAUUUUGACAGAUGGGGUAUGGUUACAUAAUUAUAUACUAGAAAAAUGUAUACGGUAUAUCCCAUUUCAUUUUCUUGAGCGGAAGGGGGGGGGGGGGGGGGUCAGUGCCUAUGCACAUGAGUAUUCUACGUUAAUAAGUUUGCAUUUUACACUUACCCUACAGACUGCCCCUCCUCUGUAAUUGUUUUUGUUCAUGAUCGAAUAUUAAUUCAUAUACAUGUACCAAUUGAUCCAAUAAAUGUAAAUGAUA